Molecule: transfer RNA, 70 nt
Filed under: Nealotus tripes (black snake mackerel)
Lineage: Eukaryota; Metazoa; Chordata; Actinopteri; Scombriformes; Gempylidae
Description: tRNA-Ser
Source: RNAcentral
GAGAGAGAACUCGACAGUUAACGAAACCUGCUAAUUUUCGUGACCCAAGUUAGACCCCUGGGCUCACUCA